CUGUGGGAGAGUCCAGGUGUGACGCCGCUCUGCUCCUCCCGCUCUGCUCCUCCGUCUCUCCUCCUCCGUCUCUCCUCCUCCUCCAUCCAGAUGUUUGGUUUGUCUCCAGGAAACGGCUCAUGUUGUUUGCAACAACGUGACCUCUGACCUUAUCCUGGAGGGAGACGGCACAGAGAUACCGAUCAGGGAGAGCGGAUGUCCCGUCUCCAUGGAAACUGGUGAAAAACUCCUGAACACAAGCUUGACUCCAUUUCCUACGGCUUCAUCUGAAGAUCUCUGGUGGCUGAUCAUCUUCCUCCUCCUCCUCCUCAUCAUCAUCAUCAU
Poeciliopsis prolifica (blackstripe livebearer) is the source of this 324-nucleotide long non-coding RNA. RefSeq lists it as uncharacterized. The record is from RefSeq and is a predicted model, not a curated record. NCBI's taxonomy places the organism in Eukaryota, Metazoa, Chordata, Actinopteri, Cyprinodontiformes, Poeciliidae. The transcript is spliced from 3 exons.